Non-coding RNA from Coemansia sp. RSA 2711, 72 nucleotides. Lineage: Eukaryota; Fungi; Kickxellomycota; Kickxellomycetes; Kickxellales; Kickxellaceae. The record is from the annotation of a GenBank genome assembly.
GCCGCUUUGGCGCAAUGGUAGCGCGUGACCCUCCUAAGGUCAAGGUUGCGGGUUCAAGUCCCGUGAGUGGCU